UUUAUUUUUUUACAGGUGUGAAGCGUGAUGGAAUAGUACUUUCAUUCGACUUCAUGAACUGAAAUGUGUCGCGCAUUAUGAAAUAAAUCUGGCCAAUCACAUUUCUCCCAGUCAUUGGAACAUGUCUGUACUGACAGAUUUUGAGGGUGCCCCUCUUCAGCUAGGAGGAAUUGAUUGGGGGGUAUUCAUGUUGAUAGUAGGUGGUU
This is a long non-coding RNA of Sinocyclocheilus anshuiensis, 206 nucleotides long. RefSeq lists it as uncharacterized. The record is from RefSeq and is a predicted model, not a curated record. The transcript is spliced from 3 exons. NCBI's taxonomy places the organism in Eukaryota, Metazoa, Chordata, Actinopteri, Cypriniformes, Cyprinidae.